Canis lupus familiaris (dog) is the source of this 5788-nucleotide long non-coding RNA. RefSeq lists it as uncharacterized. The transcript has 6 exons. The record is from RefSeq and is a predicted model, not a curated record. Lineage: Eukaryota; Metazoa; Chordata; Mammalia; Carnivora; Canidae.
GCUUCACGCUCUAAAAACACAACACUCAGCUUAGGCAAUUAACAUAAAUUUUGGUAUCAUGAAAAUCACGGUUUGGGGUUUUUUGUUUGUUUUGUUUUUGCAUACCUACUAUGCACUAAGCACUGGUAGGAAGGAGGCCCUAAUAGGAGGGCAUUUCAUUUCUACUGCAAGGAAAGAGAGAGAUGAAUAAAUAAAGCUGUUUUCAGAUCGUGGUAAACCUUAGGAAAGGGGGGAAAAAAAAAAGAUGGUGUGAUAGAGCACUACUGAUAGAAAGGGGGGGCGGGCAAUUAGAAAGGACGGAGAUCUAAAUUCCAGAUGCAAGUCACGCUGACAUCUGGGGGAUGCAUACUCUAAGCACAGAAGACAGCACGUGCUAGUAAAGCCCUAGACAUGUCAGUUUGGUGAGCUGGCGCCAAGAGAAGAAAGGGCAGGGGGGAGAGUGGUUGUGAGGGCGCAGAGGAGUCUGGAUCUCUCAUCCCAAGUACAAUGAAAAGCCACUGGGGAGUUUAAAGCAGGAGAGUGGUGUUCUUUUGGUUUAGGUUUUAAAGAUCACUUGGGCUGGGUGGGAAUUAGGCUGAAAGUAGGCAAGGGUGGGAGCAGAGAGGCCGAUGAGGAACCGACCGCCGAGGCGCAGGCAGAGGACCCGGCUAGGGUUGUAGCCGUGGUGACAAGGAGAAGUAGAACCAACAGGACAGGCCUCAGAUGGGUUGGAUUUAGAUGAUGAAAUGAACAGGCCAUUCAAAGGCAACUCCUAGGUUUCCUGCUUCCGCUGGAUACACAGCAUGGUCACUUACGGAGAUAGGGAUGGAGUGGGUUUCAACAGGUGGGAAUUAAGACUUCUCCCUUGGGCGAUGUGAGUUGCAGGUGGCUAUCGGACAGCCAUGUGGCUGUCUGAACCGAAAGAAAGCUUAGUGAUUUUUGUUCAUUCUUCUCUUUUUGCAGCUGAAGGAAAAAAAAGUGACGUUCACCAUCACACAGCUUGUUUAGUAGUGCGAACCAGUACUAGGAUCCAGGCCCUACAGCUACACAGAAGAACAAAGACCUGAGCCAAUCUGAAUUAAGGUCCUACUUCAAAACCUGCAUUGUUUUUGCUGCCUUUCUCACAGAUUAGAGAAGGAGAAUCUGAUGGCUAAACUGCGAGACAAAAGGAAGGUCUAAGCUCAAGUUGGGAGCGGCAGAAAAAGGAGAUGGAUUUGAGAGACAGGAAGGUAACUGACACCUGUCAGGAUGUUCUGAAGAGUGGGUCCAAUGUUCCAAAGGAAUUGGAAGCCAGAUUUAGACUGUCUUCAACCUUGACAAUUAAGACGCUUUCCACCAAUCCACCAAUGCUUUCAUCACUCCUGUCAUCAUAUAAUUGUGGCUUAUAUUGAGUGAAGACAUGUGUGCCAAGGACCCCUGAACUCAUCCAGUAUUUACUGAGCACGAGAACUGUAUGCAGUUCAAUCUGAAGACAGAACACACACUGCUAGCAAAGCUUCUCUGCCAGAACCCUGAGAUUGCCAAUUGCUUUCCACAAAACACUUCCUCUGAGCCGGUUAUGAUCAAGGUUCCGUAGAGGGUAUUAUAAAGAUGAAAAAGACCCCAAGGAAGAAUACUUCACUGAUCCCGACACAGAACAUACGCUGGAAAAAGCUCCACAACAUAAGUGGUGGUGAAAGCCUGUCCCAUUUUUCCCACUUAAUUUGCUUUAGGAAUGUGUAAAAUCUAAAGGCUCAAUUAAUCUAAUGAUGUGUCAAAGAAGAGAAAGAUCACCCUGGCCAAAAAGGAAUUCUGCACAUGUUGCAGAGCCCAGAAGGAAGAAUGUUGAGGAAGAGGUGGACGAUGGCCAGUUCCCCACAAAGAUCAACCCUCCAACUGGUAUUUUAAAUAAAAACAAUUUUUUAAUUUUUAAAACUAUGAUGGGGGACUUAGGGAUUAUUGGGUGUAUAAAAUAAAUAUUUUGUAAUUUGUUUAAAUGUUCCUUCCAUCACACUAACCAACACAGUGACAAGUCAGCUCCUAGAGACACUGCUUUACCACUUAAGAACCUAGUUGGUCCCGUAUCUCUCUUUAGUGUAUUACCAACACCAGGAGACCCAACUGAAAUGCUUCCAAGGGCAGGCACAUAGAUGGAGUGAUAGCACUAAGAUAAAGAGCAUUGCCCUCAGCAGACUGGAGAGCCCUCACACAUCUAAAGGGGAGAGGCAGCCACUGCUCUGUUCCCGCUAAUGCUGUUUCUGCUGAGAAGGGUGCUGGGACCUCGAGAGAGGUUGAAAAAUCCAGAUCUCUAAGAAUGUGAAUUCUCACACUGUACAGAUGUUCAAUUUCUUAAAGAUUAAAGAGUUAAUGCUUUUUAACAGUUAUCAAAAAAAAUUAAAUGCUAACACUAAUACUGAUCAAAAGGUAGAAAGGCUGACCUUAGGCUUGGCCCUUGUGACCCAGGAAUGUCAUUCCUCUUACUCUUUUCAUAACAUCCUUUGUCUUUUUUUUUGAUGCUCAACCCAUCUCUGGCCACAUGCUCUCUAGGAGAGGACAACAGUCAUGUCUUCCAGGUGGAAGAAUGCCCUGCAGUGCUUGGCAGGGGCCGGGUAUGUGGCACUGCCUAUGAAUGAUGGUGGGCGAUACCCUGAAACCUGUCCUAGUGGAUAAUGUAUGCAUCCACUUUUUCCUUUUUUCUUCCCACUGCUCUCCCCACUAGCACCAGUUAGAACUAGCCACCCAGCCUACUGGCCUCUCUUGUUGUUCGUAAUCAUUUUUCAGUUGAUUCUCUACUUUCCAAGUGUGCACUUCAAAUACCUACAUAUAACAGGAGGUUUGCCAACUUCCACUCCAAUGUUUAUAUAUAUAUAUAUAUAUUUUUUUUUUUCUUAUCUUCUGGCUGGUACUUUCUAGUUAGUUUUAUAAUUUCAGCAAAAGUGAGCAUUCUUACCACACAUCUGAUUUAAAUGGGAAUGCUUCUUGUGUUUCACAAAAUAUGAUGCUGGUUUGGCAUAAGACUAUGUAUUUAAAAUAAAGCAAAAAAAAAAAAAAGUAACAAAUUCUACUACUUCUAAUUGCACCAAGUUAAUUUUUUUUCCCUUUUAAAUCAGGAAUGUGUAUUCCUUUUGUUAUUGUUGUUACCAUAAACGAUUUGAUUUAUUCUUCUAAAAGUUAAGUUUGGGGCAGCCCCAGUGGCCCAGCGGUUUAGCACUGCCUUCAGCCCAGGGCGAUCCUGGAGACCCGGGAUCGAGUCCCACCGUCAGGCUCCCUGCAUGGAGCCUGCUUCUCCUUCUGCCUGUGUCUCUGCCUCUCUCUCUCUGUGUCUCAUGAAUAAAUAAAUAAAUAAUUUUUUUUUAAAAAGUUAAGUUUGGCAAAAUUUACAUGAAAUAAAAUUCACUCUUAAAGAAUAUAGUUCAAGGAGUUUUGACGAAUGUGUACAGUCAUGUAACCACUGCCACAAUCAACGUAUCACGAGAUGUUGAAUUUUAGCAAAGCAUUUUUGGCAUUGAUUAAGAUAAGCACAUGGAUUUUUCUUUUUUGACCUAAUGUGGAGCCAAGCUCACAUUCCUGUUAUGUACCACUAGCUCUAGUAUUUAUUUAAUGUACUGCUAAAUUCUAUUUGGUGGUAUUUUAUUGCAGUGUUUUACAUCAAUAUUCAUAAGCAAGACUGAUCUCCAGUAUAUGUGAGUGUACAUAUGCACAUGUGCACACACACCACCUUUGCAAAGUUCUGGUUAUAAAGAUCAUUUUUACAUCUUAAACUUGGAAGUUUGACUUUUUGUGGUAUACUUAGAAAAUGUUGAAACUAUAAUGUGAACACUCAUCCAGGUUUACAUAGGACAAUCUGGUUUACACCAAAUUUCCCAAUUAAAGCCCCAUUUUAACAAAUUAUAAUUUCACCCUUGUUAAUAAUAUCCUUAAAUGCUGGAAGAAUUUACUCAGGCCAUCUGGGGCUUACACUUUGAAUUCUGAGAGCACUUUUUUUUUUUUUAAGAUUUUAUUCAUUUAUUCAUGAGAGACAGAGACACUGGCAGAGGGGAGAAGCAGGCUCCCCAUGGGGAGCCUGAUGUGGUACUUGAUCCCAGGACCUGGGGAUCACAACCUGAGCUGAACGCAGAUGCUCAAUCAUUGAGCCACCCAGGUGCCCUGAGAGCACUUUUCGAUAACUUUUUCAUUUCUUACAUGGUUACUGACUUAGGAUCUCUCUGCUGGGAGCUACUUUGAUAAAAUAAUUUUUUCUAGAAAUACCACAUACUUCGUGUAUCUCCACAGAAUUUCACAUAGUAUCCUACAGAAUUUUUUGAUAAUUUUUCUUUGUCUCUAAUUUUGUUGAUUUUUACUUUCUCUAGUAAUCAAAGAGGUAUUUGUUCAUUGUAACAAAAUUGAAAAAAUAAAGACACACAGGAAAAGUUGAAAGUUACCCAUGAUCCCAUCAUCCAGAAAUAAUUACUAGUGAAAUUAUCAUGUAAAAUACUCCAGACUUUUAUCUGUCUACAUUCCUACCCUCCUACCUACCUACAAUGUUUAUUAGCCUUUUUAUUUUUUAUAUGAUGUAUACAUCUCUUCUAUAUCAAUAAAUACAGAUUUACAUCUUCAAUUUCAAUGGCUAUGAAGCAUCCUUAUACCCUGACUUCCUUAAAUUCCUGACAAUAGGGGAUAGGUAGAUAGGUUAAUUUUUUUUCAACUGUUAACAAUACUGUGUUGAUUUAACAUCUUUGUAUACUCAUCCAAUUAUACAUGUUGAACUGCUAGUCAAAGAUAUAUUUUAAAAAACUUUUUCUUGUAAAAAAGUUUCUACUUACAUAAAAAAUAAGCAAAGAACAAAACUGAGCCAAGAAUAAAGGUUUCCUGCAAUCUAUUGUCCAGCGAUAGCUUCUGUUUAUUUUGUCAGAUGCAUCCACAAAGUCUGACAAACAUGCUUUUUCUUUAACCAUAAAUGAGACCAAAUUACAUCCACUAGAUUGUAAUUUACUACAUAUGCCAUCUUUUCCUGCACAGCAUCAUUCCAUACAGCUCUAAGGCAUCCCAUGGAUAAAAGAACCAUAAUUUCAUUUUCUACUGAUGGAAACUGGUAACGUUUGUAAUUUUUGCUUUUACAAACAAUGCUACAAAGAAUAGCAGUGCUUUAUUUUUUUCCACUAUUGUUCAAUUAUUUCCUUACACUAAAUUCCCAGAGGUAGAAAUGCAAUAUAGGAAGAUAAAUACUUCAAGGCUGAUGAACACAUUGCCCUAAAGAAAAUGUACAUCAAUUGACAUUCCCAACAGAAUCUGAGUGCUUAUUCUCCCCCCAUCCACUCUAACCUUGGUAUUAUCACUCUUCUCAAACUCAGGCUUAGGGAACAAAAUGUAGCACUUUCUUUUGGCAUUUAAAAAAAUUACUAACCGAUUGGACAUUUUCUUUCAUGUGCUCUUUGGUCCUUUACAGUAACUUAAGAAAUCACUUUAUAUUAUCUGAUAUCUAUCUAUAAACGAAACAGCCACAGUAAAUUAUAUUGAUUUCUUAAAAUCAUAGGUCCUGCUUUAGUGGAGAAUUAAAACAGUAAGAAGAAAAACAUGCCUUGCAUUUUAACAGCUCUGAUACUGUUGCUGGAAUUUUACUUUUAGUUUAUUCCAAAUAAGGGAGAACCACCAUUUUCUCUAUGCUGUAUUAACAUAAAUAUGUACCUGAACAUUUUUGCUAGAGCAUAGAAGUCAUUGUAGCACAAGCCCACACCCAAAUUUUCAGCACAGUAUAAGCAUUUUAAUAAACAUUUCAUUAUAAUACAUUUUUAUCUCUAACAGCUCCACAGAACAGGCCACUAAAAUAAUACUGGAGGCAAGUUCUUGUUUC